GGUUUGACAGGUUUUCUUGGUUCCUUUUUCAGAGCACAUGAGUUAUUAAUGUCUGUCAGGACCCAGAAUCUUAAAAAGUGGGGAAUCCACUCCCACGCACUCAGCAGCACAAAAACAAUUCACUAGAAAGAUUCAGAUUCAGAUUUGACUCCCUGCAUGUGGCCUCUCAAACAUCCAGAGGAGCAGGAUCAUUUCCUUUCUCCGACAAAUGAUCCCUUGUUAUUUCCUGUCCCUGAUCACAUAAAUGAUUGAAUCCUUGUUGAUAUAAAG
This is a non-coding RNA of Labrus bergylta (ballan wrasse), 270 nucleotides long. NCBI's taxonomy places the organism in Eukaryota, Metazoa, Chordata, Actinopteri, Labriformes, Labridae. The record is from RefSeq and is a predicted model, not a curated record.